Molecule: transfer RNA, 72 nt
Filed under: Rhipicephalus microplus (southern cattle tick)
Lineage: Eukaryota; Metazoa; Arthropoda; Arachnida; Ixodida; Ixodidae
Description: tRNA-His
Rfam family: tRNA
About the family: Transfer RNA (tRNA) molecules are approximately 80 nucleotides in length. Their secondary structure includes four short double-helical elements and three loops (D, anti-codon, and T loops).
Source: Rfam by way of RNAcentral
GGUCUCAUGGUGUAAUGGUUAGCACUCUGGACUAUGAAUCCAGCGACCUGAGUUCAAAUCUCGGUGAGACCU